Molecule: transfer RNA, 63 nt
Filed under: Glycera cf. tridactyla FS20
Lineage: Eukaryota; Metazoa; Annelida; Polychaeta; Phyllodocida; Glyceridae
Description: tRNA-Gly
Source: RNAcentral
UCUUCUUCAGUAUAAGAGUACAUUUACCUUCCAAGUAAAAAGAUUAAUAAUUUAAAAGAAGCA